This 173-nucleotide ribosomal RNA is filed under the name uncultured bacterium. Its description in RNAcentral is "partial 16S ribosomal RNA". It matches the Rfam family "Bacterial small subunit ribosomal RNA", at positions 1320 to 1500 of the family's 1533-position model. The record is from RNAcentral.
ACGAAGUUGGAUUCGCUAGUAAUCGCGCAUCAGCCAUGGCGCGGUGAAUACGUUCCCGGGCCUUGUACACACCGCCCGUCAAGCCAUGGGAGCCGGGGGCGCCUGAAGUCCGGGACCGCGAGGACCGGCCUAAGGCGAAACUGGUGACUGGGGCUAAGUCGUAACAAGGUAGC